GACGAACGCUGGCGGCGUGCCUAAUACAUGCAAGUAGAACGCUGAAGAGAGGAGCUUGCUCUUCUUGGAUGAGUUGCGAACGGGUGAGUAACGCGUAGGUAACCUGCCUUGUAGCGGGGGAUAACUAUUGGAAACGAUAGCUAAUACCGCAUAACAAUGGAUGACACAUGUCAUUUAUUUGAAAGGGGCAAUUGUUCCACUACAAGAUGGACCUGCGUUGUAUUAGCUAGUAGGUGAGGUAAUGGCUCACCUAGGCGACGAUACAUAGCCGACCUGAGAGGGUGAUCGGCCACACUGGGACUGAGACACGGCCCAGACUCCUACGGGAGGCAGCAGUAGGGAAUCUUCGGCAAUGGGGGCAACCCUGACCGAGCAACGCCGCGUGAGUGCAGAAGGUUUUCGGAUCGUAAAGCUCUGUUGUAAGUCAAGAACGGGUGUGAGAGUGGAAAGUUCACACUGUGACGGUAGCUUAACAGAAAGGGACGGCUAACUACGUG
RNAcentral lists this ribosomal RNA (497 nucleotides) under uncultured bacterium. Its description in RNAcentral is "partial 16S ribosomal RNA". It matches the Rfam family "Bacterial small subunit ribosomal RNA", at positions 28 to 507 of the family's 1533-position model. The record is from RNAcentral.